RNAcentral lists this long non-coding RNA (1919 nucleotides) under Sorghum bicolor (sorghum). Its description in RNAcentral is "long non-coding RNA (SBIC_LNC016917)". The record is from RNAcentral. Lineage: Eukaryota; Viridiplantae; Streptophyta; Magnoliopsida; Poales; Poaceae.
CGAUAAAAUGAAAAUUUGAUGAAAACACAAGUCUAAAGUUAGUCUUUGACAUGAUGUAUGAACGCUGCUUGGGGUAGUUCACCUUGUAUACACUUGUUAGCACUAGGUUGAUUUCCUGCUUAUACCUGCUAUGUGCUACUUUCAGUGGUGAACUCCUUCUUACAAUUGCUUAAAAUUGAUCAAAAAUGCUUAAAUGUCAUAUUUCGUUUCACUUGAUCAGUUUGAGCAUUUGCUAGCACUUGUACUUAUUGCUAUACACACAUGACAGCACCACCUAGAGCAUCUUUUCAAUCUGAUUGCUAUACUCCUGAAGCUUUUGUAUAUGUGCAUUUCUUGCAUUCAUAGCAUGUUUUGAGGGGGAGUUGCACUCCUUUGGGCAAAUCUUGAUAAGUGCAUGUGUCAACAAGGGGGAGAAAGUUACACACAAAAAGAGAGACAUGCAUUCAUUUGAGAGAGAUUGCAUUUGCUCAGGGGGAGUUGCAUUUGAGUUGCAUUGAAGUUGCUUUUGCUAGAUGUGUUGAGCCCGUUUGCCUCUUCUUGAGGGCUAGCUGUGUUUUACUUGGUUGUGUCGAGCCUUUGCCCAUGUCUUUGGGGACCAAGUUUUUGCCAAGUGUUGCUCACUUCAAAUGACCCUGUUUUGGUUUUCUCCGGCUUUUGGUCAUUUGGGUGAGUUCUUCCUUCCUCUUUCUCUAUUUUUUCUUUUGCUCAAGCUGUUCGUGUGAGGAUGUUGACAAUGCACUCAUCAAGGGGGAGAUUGCGAACACAAGGUCGAGAAGUACCCUUGUGGUACAUUUUGUGAUGAGUGAUUGUCAACGUGAUCCACGAAUAGGUUGAGUUGGUGACUAACAUUACCAUGGCGAAAGCUAUGUGUGCGAUAUGUCCCUUGGCUUGUGGUGUUCAGAUGUGGAGCUCGGACACAGUGGUCGACGGCGAGGAGAAGGUCAAGUAGAGACGUGCCGUGCCGAUGGACCUGGAGCGGUGAAGGGCGGACGUGAGGCUAGACUGACGGACCAGGAGGCCGGGUGACCGGCUGUAGUGGCUGACAUCUGGGACAUCGACAAGUGCAAGAGUACAUGGGAGUGACCGUGUUGACCAAGUCAGGACGGCGGACGCGAGUCGAGCGAGGCUCAGGAGGACUUAGCGGGCCGGCCGGCCGAGGACGGCGGUGACACGUGUCGAGUGGCGGGGAAGCGUAUGGAGUACGCUACUCGCGGCGGGUUUCGCGGGUUUGGGCCUCAAAACCCGGGCGGAGGUCCCGAUGCGGACGGAUGGCACGUGGCGGCAUCGGUGAUAUCGCUUCGGAGCGAGGCUACCGGUGAGAAGGCGCGGUGGCCGUCGGAUUUAGGUCAUGUCGAGUUGGACUAGAAUGCCCUUGGGGCUAGCUAGUUCGCUCAAAAAUAUCUAGGGACAUUUGGGAAAUAUAUAAUAUGCCUGAUAAAUAAACCGGAGGUUUUCCCUAUCCCCCUAAUCCUCUCCAUCUCUCUCUCUCAUUCCUGUCUUUCUGUCCGUAGACUCCUCCUCCUCCUUUCGUUUUUGUUAGUAGAAGGCUAUGAACUGAAAUUUUUAGGAGAGUUUUUGUACUGGAUUUUGAGUUGGGAAUGGAGGCCCAAAUCCUCCAGUUGUCCUCCGGGAUUCAUCACUUCUUCUUGUGAUUUUGUUUCUGUGCUGUGCUGUGUUCUUGUCUCCUUUUUCGUUCAUGGGUUCGAUCUCGAUUUCCCGGAGUUUGGGAUCAUCCCAGGCAAUAAUUUUUGGGGAAUAGGUUCGUGCUUUGGUGAAUUGCAUCUAUGCAAAAUUUGAGCUCAGUAGCUUUUGAAUCCAGAGAGAUCCAUUCCUUUUUGUGUUCGUUUCUUUUUGUGUUCUAGUGCUCGCGGCUCUGUCUAUUUUUCAGUUGUGUGUUCAGGUCCUGUGUUGUAGGCCUG